Molecule: ribosomal RNA, 630 nt
Filed under: uncultured Methanolinea sp.
Lineage: Archaea; Methanobacteriati; Methanobacteriota; Methanomicrobia; Methanomicrobiales; Methanoregulaceae
Description: bacterial SSU rRNA
Rfam family: Archaeal small subunit ribosomal RNA
Source: RNAcentral
GGUGCAAGACUCGGCGCACUGCUCAGUAACACGUGGACAACUACCCUCAGGAGGGGGAUAACCCCGGGAAACUGGGGAUAAUACCCCAUAGGCCAGUGAUGCUGGAAUGCCUCCUGGUUCAAAGGUCCGCCGCCUGAGGAUGGGUCUGCGGCCGAUUAGGUUGUUGUUGGGGUAACGGCCCAACAAGCCUUUGAUCGGUACGGGUUGUGAGAGCAAGAGCCCGGAGAUGGAUUCUGAGACACGAAUCCAGGCCCUACGGGGCGCAGCAGGCGCGAAAACUUUACAAUGCGAGAAAUCGUGAUAAGGGAACCCCGAGUGCCCGUAAAUUCGGGCUGUCCGCCAGUGCAAAUAGCUGGUGAAGAAAGGGCCGGGCAAGACCGGUGCCAGCCGCCGCGGUAAUACCGGCGGCUCGAGUGGUGGCCACUAUUACUGGGCUUAAAGCGUCCGUAGCUUGAUUGUUAAGUCUCUUGGGAAAUCCACCGGCUCAACCGAUGGGCGUUCAGGAGAAACUGGCAAUCUAGGGACCGGGAGAGGUGAGAGGUACUCCAGGGCGUAGGAGUGAAAUCCUGUAAUCCUUGGGGGACCACCUGUGGCGAAGGCGUCUCACUAGAACGGCUCCGACAGUGAGGG